AUUGAACGCUGGCGGCAGGCCUAACACAUGCAAGUCGAACGAGUAGCGGACGGGUGAGUGAUGUCGUGGAAACUGCCCGAUGGAGGGGGAUAAAGACUGGAACAGGUAGCAACUAGCGCCUAACGUCGGAAGUGCCAAGAUGGGAUUAGCUAGUGGGUGGGGUAACGGCUGAACUAGGCGACGAUCCCGAGCUGGUCUGAGAGGAUGAGCAGCCACACUGGAACUGAGACACGGUCCAGACUCCGACGGGAGGCAGCAGUAGGGAAUCUUCCGCAAUGGGCGCAAGUCUGACUCAGCCAUGCCGCGUGUAUGAAGAAGGUCUUCGGGUUGUAAAGUUCUUUCAGCGGGGAAGCGUUACCUGACCAGGAAGCCCCGGCUAACUCCGUGCCAGCAGCCGCGGUAAUAC
RNAcentral lists this ribosomal RNA (406 nucleotides) under uncultured bacterium. RNAcentral describes it as "partial 16S ribosomal RNA". It matches the Rfam family "Bacterial small subunit ribosomal RNA", at positions 30 to 526 of the family's 1533-position model. The record is from RNAcentral.